UACGUAGGGUGCGAGCGUUAAUCGGAAUUACUGGGCGUAAAGCGUGCGCAGGCGGUCUGUUAAGACAGAUGUGAAAUCCCCGGGCUUAACCUGGGAACUGCAUUUGUGACUGGCAGGCUAGAGUAUGGCAGAGGGGGGUAGAAUUCCACGUGUAGCAGUGAAAUGCGUAGAGAUGUGGAGGAACACCGAUGGCGAAGGCAGCCCCCUGGGUCAAAACUGACGCUCAUGCACGAAAGCGUGGGGAGCAAACAGG
Molecule: ribosomal RNA, 253 nt
Filed under: uncultured bacterium
Lineage: Bacteria
Description: partial 16S ribosomal RNA
Rfam family: Bacterial small subunit ribosomal RNA
Source: RNAcentral